Molecule: ribosomal RNA, 250 nt
Filed under: uncultured bacterium
Lineage: Bacteria
Description: partial 16S ribosomal RNA
Rfam family: Bacterial small subunit ribosomal RNA
Source: RNAcentral
GACAGAGGGGCAAGCGUUGCUCGGAAUUACUGGGCGUAAAGGGCGCGUAGGCGGAAUGGCAAGUCGGUCGUGAAAUCCUUCGGCUCAACCGAAGAACGUCGAUCGAACUGCCGUUCUUGAGAGUUGCAGAGGAGACUGGAAUUCCCGGUGUAGCGGUGAAAUGCGCAGAUAUCAGGAAGAACACCAAUGGCGAAGGCAGCUCUCUGGGACGGUACUGACGCUGAGACGCGAAAGCGUGGGAGCGAACAGG